This 801-nucleotide long non-coding RNA is filed under the name Elaeis guineensis (African oil palm). Its description in RNAcentral is "long non-coding RNA (EGUI_LNC054760)". The record is from RNAcentral. Lineage: Eukaryota; Viridiplantae; Streptophyta; Magnoliopsida; Arecales; Arecaceae.
UGUGAAAAAUAAUUUUAGAAGUUUUAGAGACUACAAGUGAAGUUUUAACUGGUACUAAACAUAUGAGUAUUAAUAUUAUUGAUUUUUUAAUGGGUUUAUAAGAAAAAAAUUAUCGUCUGAAAUUUUACCUAGUUGUGGAUUUUGAAUACCACUACUUGUUUACACCAAACAUAAACAACUUUGUAUAUAAACCCCUACAUAGUAAAAGAAAUACAUUUAGUAUUAUGGGUGAAAUUUCAGUUAGUAUCAGCAACCCCCGUGCAACAACUAGUUUGGAUAUCAGAUCGCUGCAAAUAGCUCCCUUUUUUCUCUUCUCAUCUCAUGCCAUUGCCCUAGGCGAGGAGAUUGGAGGUGAGGCUAGGACUUGAAGAGGUGAAGGGUGCUAGAUAGAGAUUAGGGUCAAGAUUUGGAAAGAGAAGGUCUCGGCGUCGGAUUCACAUUGGCAGUGAAGCACAUUGUCGGAGUUGGAGAUCGAAGUAGGGUCUGCCAAGGAAUUAAUUAGGGACAGAGACUCUGGAAUUAUGGCUCUAUUCUUUCUCUCUCUCAUGCUUGCUCACUCACAUGCACACAAUUUCUGUAUUCUGGACAAUAACUUGAGAUGAUGAACAAAAAUUUGGAACCCACGUCUUAAAAAUUAUUACUACAAGGCUUCAAAAAAUAGAUAUUGAGGUCGAUAAUGAACCAAGCUGGAGAGUUGAAAGUUGAACUAAAUCGAUAUAGAUCGUGAUCAAAUCUACAAAAGAAGUCUUAAAACCGUGGGAUACUCUUCAAUUUAGGAUCCUCCAAUACUUAAGUCGGCCA